UACGUAGGUGGCAAGCGUUGUUCGGAAUUAUUGGGCGUAAAGGGCGCGUAGGCGGUUUGUUAAGUCGGCUGUGAAAGCCCGGGGCUCAACCCCGGAGGGUCAGCCGAUACUGGCAGACUAGAGUACGGAAGAGGUAGCUGGAAUUCCCGGUGUAGCGGUGAAAUGCGUAGAGAUCAGGCGGAACACCCGUGGCGAAGGCGGCCAGCUGGGCCGUCCCUGACGCUGAGGCGCGAAGGCGUGGGGAGCGAACGGG
RNAcentral lists this ribosomal RNA (253 nucleotides) under uncultured bacterium. RNAcentral's name for it is "partial 16S ribosomal RNA". It matches the Rfam family "Bacterial small subunit ribosomal RNA", at positions 524 to 776 of the family's 1533-position model. The record is from RNAcentral.